Molecule: microRNA precursor, 137 nt
Filed under: Marmota monax (woodchuck)
Lineage: Eukaryota; Metazoa; Chordata; Mammalia; Rodentia; Sciuridae
Source: RNAcentral
GAGAGAGAAAGAGAGAGAGAGAGAGAGAGAGAGAGAGAGAGAUGUGGGGGGAGAUAUUGUUGAGACAGUGGUCAUUGAAGAAAAAUGGAUUCUCUCUCUCUCUCUGUCUCUCUCUCUUUCUCUGUCUCUGUCUUUUC